AUUGAACGCUGGCGGCAGGCUUAACACAUGCAAGUCGAGCGGAGAGAGGUAGCUUGCUACUGAUCUUAGCGGCGGACGGGUGAGUAAUGCUUAGGAAUCUGCCUAUUAGUGGGGGACAACAUCUCGAAAGGGAUGCUAAUACCGCAUACGUCCUACGGGAGAAAGCAGGGGAUCACUUGUGACCUCGCGCUAAUAGAUGAGCCUAAGUCGGAUUAGCUAGUUGGUGGGGUAAAGGCCUACCAAGGCGACGAUCUGUAGCGGGUCUGAGAGGAUGAUCCGCCCCACUGGGACUGAGACACGGCCCAGACUCCUACGGGAGGCAGCAGUGGGGAAUAUUGGACAAUGGGGGGAACCCUGAUCCAGCCAUGCCGCGUGUGUGAAGAAGGCCUUAUGGUUGUAAAGCACUUUAAGCGAGGAGGAGGCUCUUUUGGUUAAUACCCAAGAUGAGUGGACGUUACUCGCAGAAUAAGCACCGGCUAACUCUGUGCCAGCCGCCGCCGUAA
This 503-nucleotide ribosomal RNA is filed under the name uncultured bacterium. Its description in RNAcentral is "partial 16S ribosomal RNA". It matches the Rfam family "Bacterial small subunit ribosomal RNA", at positions 30 to 523 of the family's 1533-position model. The record is from RNAcentral.